This 465-nucleotide ribosomal RNA is filed under the name Vreelandella stevensii. RNAcentral describes it as "partial 16S ribosomal RNA". It matches the Rfam family "Bacterial small subunit ribosomal RNA", at positions 338 to 795 of the family's 1533-position model. Lineage: Bacteria; Pseudomonadati; Pseudomonadota; Gammaproteobacteria; Oceanospirillales; Halomonadaceae. The record is from RNAcentral.
CCUACGGGUGGCUGCAGUGGGGAAUAUUGGACAAUGGGCGAAAGCCUGAUCCAGCCAUGCCGCGUGUGUGAAGAAGGCCUUCGGGUUGUAAAGCACUUUCAGUGGGGAAGAAAGCCUUGGGGCUAAUACCCUCGAGGAAGGACAUCACCCACAGAAGAAGCACCGGCUAACUCCGUGCCAGCAGCCGCGGUAAUACGGAGGGUGCGAGCGUUAAUCGGAAUUACUGGGCGUAAAGCGCGCGUAGGCGGUCUGAUAAGCCGGUUGUGAAAGCCCCGGGCUCAACCUGGGAACGGCAUCCGGAACGGUCAGGCUAGAGUGGGGGAGAGGAUGGUAGAGUUCCCUGUGUAGCGGGACAAUGCGUAGGGAUAGGGAGGAAUCCCAGUGGAGAGGGCGGCCGUCGGGACUGAUACUGACACUGGGGUGCGAAAGCGUGGGUAGCAAAAAGGAUUAGAUACCCCGGUAGUC